AUUGAACGCUGGCGGCAUGCUUUACACAUGCAAGUCGAACGGUAACAGGCCGCAAGGUGCUGACGAGUGGCGAACGGGUGAGUAAUGCAUCGGAACGUGCCCAGUCGUGGGGGAUAACUACUCGAAAGAGUGGCUAAUACCGCAUACGAUCUAUGGAUGAAAGCGGGGGACCGUAAGGCCUCGCGCGCUUGGAGCGGCCGAUGUCAGAUUAGGUAGUUGGUGGGGUAAAGGCUCACCAAGCCAACGAUCUGUAGCUGGUCUGAGAGGACGACCAGCCACACUGGGACUGAGACACGGCCCAGACUCCUACGGGAGGCAGCAGUGGGGAAUUUUGGACAAUGGGCGCAAGCCUGAUCCAGCAAUGCCGCGUGCAGGAAGAAGGCCUUCGGGUUGUAAACUGCUUUUGUACGGAACGAAACGGCUCUGGUUAAUACCCGGGGCUAAUGACGGUACCGUAAGAAUAAGCACCGGCUAACUACGUG
This 482-nucleotide ribosomal RNA is filed under the name uncultured bacterium. RNAcentral describes it as "partial 16S ribosomal RNA". It matches the Rfam family "Bacterial small subunit ribosomal RNA", at positions 30 to 507 of the family's 1533-position model. The record is from RNAcentral.